CGUGGGCUGGGGUGGAGAGAGCGACGGAGGGAGGGAGGAGAUGCGCUCCGAGAGGCAGUAGGGGCGGGUGACGCAGGGCCUCGAGGCCAAAAUAGGAACACUAGCUUUUAUUCUGCGUAGUGCGCAUGCAUUUCAAACUAAUGCGUUCACAAGUCUGUGUAAGAGACUGUGGAGCUUAGAAGAAGGAAAGAUCACUUCCGGCUUAGGGGGGCACUGAUGAGAGGAGCAGGAGAUGCGAGAAGAGCAUGGAGGAGCCAGGAGGGGAGACAGCUUUCGGAGAGGUGAAGGCCGGGCCUCCCUCAGCCCCUGAAGCAGGGGCGGCCCAGGAGGAGAGGCUUCCUGAGCGCCUGGCCAGUCCACCACAUGCUUCAGGAACAGGAGGAGGUGCAGAUGAAUCUUGUUCUUUGCCUGCCCAGUGGUCAUCCAGGCUCCAGCACGUCUGCUCCACUGUGAUAGAGGCGGAAGGAGCAGGUCGGAACAAACCCCAUGGCCCCAGCAGAUGGCCCGGCAUGAGCAGCUACUUUUUCGACCAGGAGCCAAGAAUAUUCAGUUCACACCUGGUCUGUGCUGGCUUUAAAACUCCAGGGUGCCAUCUCAUUGACGGAGACCACGUAUGCGGCCUCAGAGAGCAGUGCUCAGUCUGGGGAGUCCGUUUCUGGAAGGCACGGUCUGCUCAACAGAUGGAAGCAUGCUUUCUA
Molecule: long non-coding RNA, 698 nt
Filed under: Equus asinus (donkey)
Lineage: Eukaryota; Metazoa; Chordata; Mammalia; Perissodactyla; Equidae
Description: lncRNA (ENSEASG00005027273.1)
Source: RNAcentral